GUGGCGAACGGGUGAGUAACACGUGGGCAAUCUGCCCUUCACUCUGGGACAAGCCCUGGAAACGGGGUCUAAUACCGGAUACGAGUUCGGGAGGCAUCUCCUGGACUGGAAAGCUCCGGCGGUGAAGGAUGAGCCCGCGGCCUAUCAGCUUGUUGGUGGGGUAACGGCCCACCAAGGCGACGACGGGUAGCCGGCCUGAGAGGGCGACCGGCCACACUGGGACUGAGACACGGCCCAGACUCCUACGGGAGGCAGCAGUGGGGAAUAUUGCACAAUGGGCGAAAGCCUGAUGCAGCGACGCCGCGUGAGGGAUGACGGCCUUCGGGUUGUAAACCUCUUUCAGCAGGGAAGAAGCGAAAGUGACGGUACCUGCAGAAGAAGCGCCGGCUAACUACGUGCCAGCAGCCGCGGUAAUACGUAGGGCGCAAGCGUUGUCCGGAAUUAUUGGGCGUAAAGAGCUCGUAGGCGGCUUGUCACGUCGGGUGUGAAAGCCCGGGGCUUAACCCCGGGUCUGCAUCCGAUACGGGCAGGCUAGAGUGUGGUAGGGGAGAUCGGAAUUCCUGGUGUAGCGGUGAAAU
Molecule: ribosomal RNA, 578 nt
Filed under: Streptomyces sp. I14A-01136
Lineage: Bacteria; Bacillati; Actinomycetota; Actinomycetes; Kitasatosporales; Streptomycetaceae
Description: bacterial SSU rRNA
Rfam family: Bacterial small subunit ribosomal RNA
Source: RNAcentral